UGUCAGCAGCCGCGGUAAUACGGAGGAUGCAAGCGUUAUCCGGAUUUAUUGGGUUUAAAGGGUGCGCAGGCGGAUUCUUAAGUCAGUGGUGAAAUCCUACAGCUUAACUGUAGAACUGCCAUUGAAACUGGGAGUCUUGAAUUUAGUUGAAGUGGCUGGAAUGUGUCAUGUAGCGGUGAAAUGCUUAGAGAUGACACAGAACACCGAUAGCGAAGGCAGGUCACUAAGCUAAUAUUGACGCUCAUGCACGAAAGCGUGGGGAUCAAACAGGAUUAGAUACCCUGGUAGUCCACGCCGUAAACGAUGAUAACUAGCUGUUGGCGAUACACAGUCAGUGGCUGAGCGAAAGCAUUAAGUUAUCCACCUGGGGAGUACGAUCGCAAGAUUGAAACUCAAAGGAAUUGACGG
This 408-nucleotide ribosomal RNA is filed under the name uncultured Bacteroidota bacterium. Its description in RNAcentral is "bacterial SSU rRNA". It matches the Rfam family "Bacterial small subunit ribosomal RNA", at positions 506 to 916 of the family's 1533-position model. Lineage: Bacteria; Pseudomonadati; Bacteroidota. The record is from RNAcentral.